RNAcentral lists this ribosomal RNA (419 nucleotides) under uncultured ammonia-oxidizing beta proteobacterium. RNAcentral's name for it is "bacterial SSU rRNA". It matches the Rfam family "Bacterial small subunit ribosomal RNA", at positions 197 to 597 of the family's 1533-position model. The record is from RNAcentral. Lineage: Bacteria; Pseudomonadati; Pseudomonadota; Betaproteobacteria.
UGGAGGAAAGCAGGGGAUCGUAAGACCUUGCGCUUUUGGAGCGGCCGAUGUCUGAUUAGCUUGUUGGUGAGGUAAAGGCUUACCAAGGCUUCGAUCAGUAGCUGGUCUGAGGGGACGACCAGCCACACUGGGACUGAGACACGGCCCAGACUCCUACGGGAGGCAGCAGUGGGGAAUUUUGGACAAUGGGGGAAACCCUGAUCCAGCCAUGCCGCGUGAGUGAAGAAGGCCUUCGGGUUGUAAAGCUCUUUCAGCCGGGAAGAAACGGUUACGAUUAAUACCUGUAACUACUGACGGUACCGGAAGAAGAAGCACCGGCUAACUACGUGCCAGUAGCCGCGGUAAUACGUAGGGUGCAAGCGUUAAUCGGAAUUACUGGGCGUAAAGCGUGCGCAGGCGGUUUUGUAAGUCAGAUGUGA